This is a long non-coding RNA of Triticum aestivum (bread wheat), 3784 nucleotides long. RefSeq lists it as uncharacterized. The record is from RefSeq and is a predicted model, not a curated record. The transcript has 6 exons. Lineage: Eukaryota; Viridiplantae; Streptophyta; Magnoliopsida; Poales; Poaceae.
GCCUCGUGCCCACAGCAGAUCGUUCUCCGCCGCCAACCAGCCCUUCGCACGCCCGAUCCAUCCCUUCGCCCCCGCCGGACAUCCAUCCCUGUGCCGCGGCCGAUCCUAACCUUGGCCGUCGCCCACUCCCGUCGAUCCCAUCUAUCGUUGCCGCUGCAGCCGCCGCAAAAAAAAUCCAUCGACCCCUCCCAUCGAUCGUUGCCGCCGCCGCCGUCCGAGGGGCAGACGCCGCCGCCGCCGCCACCGUCCGAGGGGCAGACGCCGCCGCCGCCGCCACCGCCGCAGUACAAGGGGGAGACGCCGCCGCCGCCGCUGCAAGGCAUGGCGGUUUGAAUCCCGCCCCCGCCGCUGCAAGGCAUGCUCACCAAGAUGUUCGGUGAGGCCGGCGACUACGACGGCAUCCAGUUCGUCUUCAAGAAGAUGCGGGAGGUUGGCAUCAAGCCCUAAAUCUUCGUCUACAACGCUUUGCUCGAGGCGAUCGGCAAGACCGGCAAGUUGGGGCUGGCCCGCAGCCUGUUCGAGGAAAUGUCCGCCGAGGGGGUCGAGCCCAACGAGCGCACACCGCGGUGGCCAAGAUCUGUUGCCGGGCACGCUGGGGACGCGACGUGCUCCAGCUCUGGGACAAGAUGCGCGACAAGAAGAUCCCCGCCCACAACAUCCUCUGGAACACGCAUGUGCGCCGACGUGGGGCUGGUGGCUGAGGCCGAGCAGUUCUUCGAGGAGAUGAAGCUGGACAAGUGGAGCUACACAGCCAUCAUCAACAUCUAUGGGAGCAUCAAGGACGCCAACCGCGCACUCCAGUUGUUUGUGGAAAUGCUACAGAGCGGCAUAGAGGCCAACAUAAUGAGCUACACCAUCGUGAUCCAGUGCCUCGGCAAGGCGAACAGGAUACAUGACGCCGUUCUUUGUAACCGCAUCUGGGUCAUAGACGUACAUUCUCACGUGCACACGCGUCACUGCCUACCGCUACCUUCCUUGCCGGCGGUGGACAGCGCCGCGUUUCCGGAUUAGGGGGGACUGGCCGAACCGCGACCGCGCCUUCGCCACGGCUGAGGGGAGCGAAAGCCACACCGCCGCACUCCCGGCCACGGGCCACAACCUGCGGGUCUUCGUCCGUCAGGGCCUGGACGCUUCUACUACUCCACUCCUUGUGCGAACACAUCGACACAUAUUAGCGCCCGACUGUGCCACCAAGCUCAAAUCAGGGGCUGCAAGAUUCCAUCACGAGUCUUCGUGUGGUGGUCUUGGUCUUGGAUUGUAAAGCCCGGUUUGGGAUUUUGCUACAACUGCUCAUUCAGUGAGGAUUCUGAUCGAAGAUGAUCAGAAGGAAAAAGGACUUUGCCCAAGUAACUCCAGCUGGUUAUAUUGACACACUAUAUGAAUGUAACGCCAUACAGAGGCAUGUUUCAUGUGUGGCAGAGGACUAGAGGUAAUUAAAACUUCAUGUGAGGAAGCAAUCUACAAAGUCAAGUGGAGCAAUAGCGUCCAAGCAGUCUUGUUGCUAUGUUCUUGCUUUUGCUGUACACAAAGAGGCCGGGAUUGAGCAAGGGCGCUGGAGAUAUUGUGUCAAUAGUGGGCAUCUUGAUGCAGUUGCGCUUGUCGAGGUUGAGCUUGUUCCCACGCAUGACUUGUAGUUGUAAACUUAUGCAUUUGGGGCUAUUAAAGGGAGGCAAUUGACGUGCAUGUCAAGAGGAGUUAUUCUGUGGCAACCCACAGAGUCAUGUUUGAUCAUUAAAAGAAAUGGCCACGGAUCCCCACGGACGCCGCCACUGCCGCGGAUCCCCACAGAUGAUGCAGACGCCGCCGAACAGAGCAGGAUGUGGUCGUGUUGCACUGAUUGGAGGAGACCGUGCCGGCUGUGCGCUGUUUGGAGGACGAACACAGGUUCACCGCCAUGGCUAUGAGAGGACGCAUUUGUGUUCAGUUGUUCGGGCAGAGGAGGCACUUUGUUGAAGCAUCAAGUGAAUUGAAAUGUGCAAAUGCUCUUGGUGCCCAUUAGUUCUGUGUGUGAGUAAGAAAUCGUUUUCUUCUCCAUAGCUGAGAAACCAGUAAAGAAAUUAUGUGUCAGGAGCAAGAAUCUUUUUCGAUGAAAGCCGCUACCUUUCAUAGAUAAAUUGUGUUCCUUUUCAAGAAAGAAAUCCAUAGCCUUGAAUCAAUAGAUAUACAUAAGUUUUAUGUUGAUGUUAUCUACAAUAAGAGUACUUGAAAUUGAUAGAGUUGCCAUUAGAUUUUCCGAGAAGAGGCAGACAUUAUAUCACCUGUCCGUUUAAUCUUUCUCUGUUUAUUAUGUUGCUUCUCUUUUUUUGUCUUAUUCUUAUUCCAAUCAUUGCAUUAGGAUUCAUUGCCAAUUUAUUCGGUCCUUAUUUAAUUUGGAUGGUGCUGAACUAUUUUUGUGGUCCUUAUUUAAUUUGGAUGGUGCUGAACUAUUUUUGUGGUACCUGGUACCUUUCAUGAUCAAGAAGAGCUCACAUGUGACUAAAUAGACAUGGUGUAUUGUUUAAGCAUGCAUACUUGGCCUCUUUGGACUAUUAAUAGAAGCUUGUGUCCCCUUUGGACUAGGGAAGGUAUGUUAAAUUGUACCAACCAUGUCAUUAGACUGUAACAGAAGAAAAAAAUGUAUCAAAUUAUAUGUUUUUAUUUACUUCGAUCGGUAUGAAGGGCAGGUGACAUUCAUACUAAAAUUUUGGCUAUAAUCUAUUCAACCCGGUUGUAAAUCAUUGCAUGGUAAUGUUUCUAUGUGCAUAUUCUGGAUUGCUCUAUGCAAAUGCAUAAAACAGGGAAGGACCAUGCCGUGAGCUUAUUGAUAAAUCUGAGCAGCUAGCUAGGCUCUGUAGUAACAUCUUAACUGCCUGCUUAGAUUACUUAUCUGUUUGGUCAUUCCUUCUUUUUGCCUGCUUAGUAUAAACUGUAUGUUCUAUUCUGCAGCUCCUCCUGCUGCUAUAUUGACCUCUACUUGAAGUCGGGAGCCAAAUUGAAGAUCAAAUUCAGGCUUUCAAAAGUGAGGCUAGGGCGCGGAGGUGAGGCCAAAUUGGCGUGGCGUGUGAAUGUAAGGAUUGAAAUGAGAUAGUUAUCUUCUUUCAGUUGUUUGCUUCUGCUUAUUGAUAGAGAUAAUGAUUCCCUAUUUAGUAGAGAUGCUGUCACAUAUUAAUAUUGGGAAUUAUCUAUAGUUCAUUUGAUGUUCAUAUCUCCAUCCUAGCGACCGCUUUGUCCAUGGCGUUUUUAUCGCAUCCACCCAGGUCAGUAUGAAACAAGAACGCACAUCUAUGUUGUAUUUGCUUUAUAGUAAUACAGGUUUAGGUGGUCAGUCGCCCUAUGUUGUUUGCAUCAAAAACGUUCUUUGCAUGGUGCGCACAGCAGCAAUUCAUUGUUCGAAGCAGUGAAGCGAUGUAAAAAAUGUGCAUCGGCGGUUGUGAAUAGCAUCCGUCAUUUUUCGUAGUCCUCUUAGUUAUGUACCAGCGCAGAUGUUGUGUACCGAAAGUAGGAGCAAUCAAGUUGUUUUUUCUCUGACAAGGACGCAAGCUGGCCUUGUUGUGCUAUGCUCAUCUCAAAUUGUAUGCUGAGUCUACUUAUUUUAGCUUAACGUAGGUUUUGGCAGCAAGAAACACUUGCAAAUGUAUGUCUUCUGGAUAUAAGUAUCUGCUCUAGAAGAUAUAUAUAGAUAGCCAUCACAAUAACUGGGGAUAUAAAUAUUUGCACUAGAAGAUAAAUAUUUAUAGCGGUCACACUAACUGAAUCUGUUGUGUACUACAAUAUUUUUAUUCAGAAGAAGACAUGAUUAUAUGUU